Dalotia coriaria is the source of this 855-nucleotide long non-coding RNA. RefSeq lists it as uncharacterized. Lineage: Eukaryota; Metazoa; Arthropoda; Insecta; Coleoptera; Staphylinidae. The transcript has 2 exons. The record is from RefSeq and is a predicted model, not a curated record.
GUUUGUGCUACCUAGACAAAUAAAGGCCUCGCAUUACUUGGCAUUACUCAUAAAAGCGGAAUAAAAGCGGACGCCCGCAGUCGGGUCUUGACUUCUUGACAAAACACACAACGUCGUCGCCCCGCCGAACGUGACCGCCAUGCACACAACCGUACCGCACACGAUUCAUACAAAUAAGAAAAUUAAACUUACAACCACGAACGACACAAAUGCCAUACUACACAACUCUCAACGAGGGACGAACGAACAAAGUCGUGUCUCUUGGAAAUCAUAAACUAUGACACCACAUGAUGACGCUGUGCUAAGCAGCAGAGCAAACGAUUAAAAUGCGUUUUUGCCUUACGUAUACCUUCAAGAAGACUUACACCAACCGCACACGUAUUUAUUCUGGAUCUCUUCUUCCUUUACGAGUUUACGUUUACCGAGUGCCGGUUGUGUUGAUUUAAAUUUUUAAAGCCUCACAAUAAUGGCGACGGCAGGAUGUCGGAGUCGGAGACGAAUGGGAACGCGAACGUGACGCACAUGCGGCCGCAUGUCGAGCUUAACAGCCUGCCGAGUUGGUUCAAUUCGUUUUGAUUAGAAGAUAAAUAUUGACAGUACGACCGAGUCUAAUAAGCACAUUCAUAGACGGUGUGCACGUUGAAGAAUCACGGAUUGUCGCAGGCAGGAAAACAUUCGGUUUCAGCGUCAUCAUCAUUAGGGAUUUUAAUAAGCCGAGCGAAAACACGCACCUCGCGACGCAUCUAACCUUAAACUCGUUAAAUUUGUUAUCCACGGUCAUUUUUAUGCGUAUGUGCGUGAAUUGGAAUUGUUGUGUGUUUUAUUAUGUUACUAAUGACAUCUAGUGAAAAACAA